Dipodomys ordii (Ord's kangaroo rat) is the source of this 63-nucleotide non-coding RNA. NCBI's taxonomy places the organism in Eukaryota, Metazoa, Chordata, Mammalia, Rodentia, Heteromyidae. The record is from Rfam.
GGGGAGGUGGCUCAGUGGUAGAGUGCUUGCUUUGCAUGCAUGAGGCCCUCAUUCGAUUCCCCA